This 85-nucleotide transfer RNA is filed under the name Cryobacterium arcticum. RNAcentral describes it as "tRNA-Leu". It matches the Rfam family "tRNA". Rfam says of the family: Transfer RNA (tRNA) molecules are approximately 80 nucleotides in length. Their secondary structure includes four short double-helical elements and three loops (D, anti-codon, and T loops). Lineage: Bacteria; Bacillati; Actinomycetota; Actinomycetes; Micrococcales; Microbacteriaceae. The record is from RNAcentral.
GCGGGAGUGGUGAAAUUGGUAUACACGCAGGUUUUAGGUACCUGUGCCGGAAGGCGUGAGGGUUCAAGUCCCUUCUCCCGCACCG